RNAcentral lists this ribosomal RNA (2926 nucleotides) under Escherichia coli. Its description in RNAcentral is "bacterial LSU rRNA". It matches the Rfam family "Bacterial large subunit ribosomal RNA". Lineage: Bacteria; Pseudomonadati; Pseudomonadota; Gammaproteobacteria; Enterobacterales; Enterobacteriaceae. The record is from RNAcentral.
GGGUUGUGAGGUUAAGCGACUAAGCGUACACGGUGGAUGCCCUGGCAGUCAGAGGCGAUGAAGGACGUGCUAAUCUGCGAUAAGCGUCGGUAAGGUGAUAUGAACCGUUAUAACCGGCGAUUUCCGAAUGGGGAAACCCAGUGUGUUUCGACACACUAUCAUUAACUGAAUCCAUAGGUUAAUGAGGCGAACCGGGGGAACUGAAACAUCUAAGUACCCCGAGGAAAAGAAAUCAACCGAGAUUCCCCCAGUAGCGGCGAGCGAACGGGGAGGAGCCCAGAGCCUGAAUCAGUGUGUGUGUUAGUGGAAGCGUCUGGAAAGGCGCGCGAUACAGGGUGACAGCCCCGUACACAAAAAUGCACAUGCUGUGAGCUCGAUGAGUAGGGCGGGACACGUGGUAUCCUGUCUGAAUAUGGGGGGACCAUCCUCCAAGGCUAAAUACUCCUGACUGACCGAUAGUGAACCAGUACCGUGAGGGAAAGGCGAAAAGAACCCCGGCGAGGGGAGUGAAAAAGAACCUGAAACCGUGUACGUACAAGCAGUGGGAGCCUCUUAAUGGGGUGACUGCGUACCUUUUGUAUAAUGGGUCAGCGACUUAUAUUCUGUAGCAAGGUUAACCGAAUAGGGGAGCCGAAGGGAAACCGAGUCUUAACUGGGCGUUAAGUUGCAGGGUAUAGACCCGAAACCCGGUGAUCUAGCCAUGGGCAGGUUGAAGGUUGGGUAACACUAACUGGAGGACCGAACCGACUAAUGUUGAAAAAUUAGCGGAUGACUUGUGGCUGGGGGUGAAAGGCCAAUCAAACCGGGAGAUAGCUGGUUCUCCCCGAAAGCUAUUUAGGUAGCGCCUCGUGAAUUCAUCUCCGGGGGUAGAGCACUGUUUCGGCAAGGGGGUCAUCCCGACUUACCAACCCGAUGCAAACUGCGAAUACCGGAGAAUGUUAUCACGGGAGACACACGGCGGGUGCUAACGUCCGUCGUGAAGAGGGAAACAACCCAGACCGCCAGCUAAGGUCCCAAAGUCAUGGUUAAGUGGGAAACGAUGUGGGAAGGCCCAGACAGCCAGGAUGUUGGCUUAGAAGCAGCCAUCAUUUAAAGAAAGCGUAAUAGCUCACUGGUCGAGUCGGCCUGCGCGGAAGAUGUAACGGGGCUAAACCAUGCACCGAAGCUGCGGCAGCGACGUUUAUGCGUUGUUGGGUAGGGGAGCGUUCUGUAAGCCUGCGAAGGUGUACUGUGAGGUAUGCUGGAGGUAUCAGAAGUGCGAAUGCUGACAUAAGUAACGAUAAAGCGGGUGAAAAGCCCGCUCGCCGGAAGACCAAGGGUUCCUGUCCAACGUUAAUCGGGGCAGGGUGAGUCGACCCCUAAGGCGAGGCCGAAAGGCGUAGUCGAUGGGAAACAGGUUAAUAUUCCUGUACUUGGUGUUACUGCGAAGGGGGGACGGAGAAGGCUAUGUUGGCCGGGCGACGGUUGUCCCGGUUUAAGCGUGUAGGCUGGUUUUCCAGGCAAAUCCGGAAAAUCAAGGCUGAGGCGUGAUGACGAGGCACUACGGUGCUGAAGCAACAAAUGCCCUGCUUCCAGGAAAAGCCUCUAAGCAUCAGGUAACAUCAAAUCGUACCCCAAACCGACACAGGUGGUCAGGUAGAGAAUACCAAGGCGCUUGAGAGAACUCGGGUGAAGGAACUAGGCAAAAUGGUGCCGUAACUUCGGGAGAAGGCACGCUGAUAUGUAGGUGAAGUCCCUCGCGGAUGGAGCUGAAAUCAGUCGAAGAUACCAGCUGGCUGCAACUGUUUAUUAAAAACACAGCACUGUGCAAACACGAAAGUGGACGUAUACGGUGUGACGCCUGCCCGGUGCCGGAAGGUUAAUUGAUGGGGUUAGCGGUAACGCGAAGCUCUUGAUCGAAGCCCCGGUAAACGGCGGCCGUAACUAUAACGGUCCUAAGGUAGCGAAAUUCCUUGUCGGGUAAGUUCCGACCUGCACGAAUGGCGUAAUGAUGGCCAGGCUGUCUCCACCCGAGACUCAGUGAAAUUGAACUCGCUGUGAAGAUGCAGUGUACCCGCGGCAAGACGGAAAGACCCCGUGAACCUUUACUAUAGCUUGACACUGAACAUUGAGCCUUGAUGUGUAGGAUAGGUGGGAGGCUUUGAAGUGUGGACGCCAGUCUGCAUGGAGCCGACCUUGAAAUACCACCCUUUAAUGUUUGAUGUUCUAACGUUGGCCCCUUACCGGGGUUGCGGACAGUGUCUGGUGGGUAGUUUGACUGGGGCGGUCUCCUCCUAAAGAGUAACGGAGGAGCACGAAGGUUGGCUAAUCCUGGUCGGACAUCAGGAGGUUAGUGCAAUGGCAUAAGCCAGCUUGACUGCGAGCGUGACGGCGCGAGCAGGUGCGAAAGCAGGUCAUAGUGAUCCGGUGGUUCUGAAUGGAAGGGCCAUCGCUCAACGGAUAAAAGGUACUCCGGGGAUAACAGGCUGAUACCGCCCAAGAGUUCAUAUCGACGGCGGUGUUUGGCACCUCGAUGUCGGCUCAUCACAUCCUGGGGCUGAAGUAGGUCCCAAGGGUAUGGCUGUUCGCCAUUUAAAGUGGUACGCGAGCUGGGUUUAGAACGUCGUGAGACAGUUCGGUCCCUAUCUGCCGUGGGCGCUGGAGAACUGAGGGGGGCUGCUCCUAGUACGAGAGGACCGGAGUGGACGCAUCACUGGUGUUCGGGUUGUCAUGCCAAUGGCACUGCCCGGUAGCUAAAUGCGGAAGAGAUAAGUGCUGAAAGCAUCUAAGCACGAAACUUGCCCCGAGAUGAGUUCUCCCUGACUCCUUGAGAGUCCUGAAGGAACGUUGAAGACGACGACGUUGAUAGGCCGGGUGUGUAAGCGCAGCGAUGCGUUGAGCUAACCGGUACUAAUGAACCGUGAGGCUUAACCUUACAACGCCGAAG